This 30-nucleotide non-coding RNA is filed under the name Mus musculus (house mouse). Lineage: Eukaryota; Metazoa; Chordata; Mammalia; Rodentia; Muridae. The record is from RNAcentral.
UGAGAAAUGAUCAUAAAAGUGAAGGGCUAG